This is a long non-coding RNA of Diachasma alloeum, 329 nucleotides long. RefSeq lists it as uncharacterized. Lineage: Eukaryota; Metazoa; Arthropoda; Insecta; Hymenoptera; Braconidae. The transcript is spliced from 2 exons. The record is from RefSeq and is a predicted model, not a curated record.
AAUACUCCUACUUAAGGCCUAGUUGCAACCACUUCGUUAUCCAGUGCACAUUUACAAAUUGAGGAGAAAGAACAAUAGCUGUGUAAGAUGAACCAACUUUAUAGUUUCGUUUUACUUCUGGCAAUGUCGGCUUCCACUUCAGCUACGAGUUGUUUUCUCGGUAAUUUUGGUUGUGCCGUUCAUUGCCUCUUUCGAGCAUAUUGGUAUGGUGGGCAAUGCUCUGGAGAGCUUUGCUAUUGCAAUUCAUAAUCGCGUAACAAUCCUAUGCUUUUGUUAAUUUAUGAUGGAUGUAAAAAUUAUCAUCAAAUAAAGGUAAAAAUAAAGAGACA